RNAcentral lists this ribosomal RNA (404 nucleotides) under Fusobacteriota bacterium. RNAcentral's name for it is "Fusobacteria bacterium partial 16S ribosomal RNA". It matches the Rfam family "Bacterial small subunit ribosomal RNA", at positions 355 to 776 of the family's 1533-position model. Lineage: Bacteria; Fusobacteriati; Fusobacteriota. The record is from RNAcentral.
UGGGGAAUAUUGCACAAUGGAGGGAACUCUGAUGCAGCGACGCCGCGUGAGUGAUGAAGGAAUUCGUUUCGUAAAACUCUGAUCUAUGGGAAGAAAAGGACUGUACCAUAGGAGAAAGCUCCGGCUAAAUACGUGCCAGCAGCCGCGGUAAUACGUAUGGAGCGAGCGUUGUCCGGAAUUAUUGGGCGUAAAGGGUGCGCAGGCGGCUUUACAAGUUGGAUGUGAAAUAUUGUGGCUCAACCACAAACGUGCAUCCAAAACUGCAAAGCUUGAGUUAAGGAGAGGUAAGUGGAAUUCCUGGUGUAGCGGUGGAAUGCGUAGAUAUCAGGAGGAAUACCGGUGGCGAAGGCGACUUACUGGACUUAAACUGACGCUCAGGCACGAAAGCGUGGGGAGCAAACAGG